GAUGAACGCUAGCGACAGGCUUAACACAUGCAAGUCGAGGGGCAGCAUAAAAGCAGCAAUACUUUGGUGGCGACCGGCGCACGGGUGAGUAACGCGUAUGCAACCUACCUAUCAGAGGGGAAUAACCCGGCGAAAGUCGGACUAAUACCGCAUAAAACAGGGGCACCGCAAGGUGAUAUUUGUUAAGGAAAUUCGCUGAUAGAUGGGCAUGCGUUCCAUUAGGUAGUUGGUGAGGUAACGGCUCACCAAGCCGACGAUGGAUAGGGGAACUGAGAGGUUGGUCCCCCACACUGGUACUGAGACACGGACCAGACUCCUACGGGAGGCAGCAGUGAGGAAUAUUGGUCAAUGGGCGAGAGCCUGAACCAGCCAAGUCGCGUGAAGGAAGAAGGAUCUAUGGUUCGUAAACUUCUUUUGCAGGGGAAUAAAGUGCAGGACGUGUCCUGUUUUGUAUGUACCCUGAGAAUAAGGAUCGGCUAACUCCGUGCCAGCCGCCGCAGUAA
This 503-nucleotide ribosomal RNA is filed under the name uncultured bacterium. RNAcentral describes it as "partial 16S ribosomal RNA". It matches the Rfam family "Bacterial small subunit ribosomal RNA", at positions 28 to 523 of the family's 1533-position model. The record is from RNAcentral.